CUCUCUCUCUCUCUCUCUCUCAAAAUAAAUAAAUAAACUAAAAAAAAGAAAGAAAGAAACAAUAGCUUUCAUUUAACCAACUGUUGGAUCAAAUAGAAAAUAAAACCUGAAGUUGCAGAACCUUACCUCUCACAAGAUUGAGAAUACUGUAUACAACAACUUAAGGAAAAGAAAAUGAAAAUAAUUAAGCAUUCAGUAUAGGAAGUUGAACAAAUACAUCCAAGGAAAGCUAAAGAAAGAAAUGCAUCAAUAAUGAUAAAAACAUAAAUCAAAGCAUAAAUUAGAAAUAGAAAAAAAUAGUAGAAUUGAUAUAAAGCAGUUAAACAAUAGUAACAAAGCCCAAUCAAAUGGGUAACUUCCCACUUACCUUCAUCAAGGGUGUAGCUAGGAAGAGAUGAAAACACAAAUACAUAGAUUUAAGGUUGAGAAGAAGGAAUGAUCCACCAGUAGAGAAAUAAUUAAUAGAGUUACAAAAAACAGUUUUCAAAAAUCUAUGCUAAUAAAUGAGAAAACUCCUUAAAUGGACGAUUUUCCAGAAGAUAUGUUACCUGAAUUAACUCCUUAAAGGGAUGGAAAGAUAUAAAUGUCUAAUAACCAUGAAGGAAAUUAGUUGUCAAAGAGCCAGUGCCUUCACCUCCACCUAUUUUUGAAAACGAGAACUUUUCAUGUCUACAGUAUUCUGGCAGCAAUAUUUGUUAUCUAUAAUACGAAAAAUUUACUUCCAGCCAUCUUGAGAUUAUUUUGGUACAUUGCCUAAGCACUCUGGGAUAUGUGUUGUCUGAUUUAGAUAUUUUAAUUAGUUUAAGACAUUUAUUUAUUUUUGAAUAAUACAGGUCUCCCUUGCUAUCUGAAUGUAGAGCAUUGCAAUGAAACCUUUUGUAGGCCAAAAUGCUAUAAAGUUAAGAAGCAAUCACCAUUAAUUUAUAUGGAAAAUUUUUGAGCAUUCCCAGGCCCCCCAAAUAACCUCUCUUAGGCUUUUGUGAUACCUUAGGACAAAUCUUGUUAACAGAUGUGUGAAAUAAAUCAAGACAAAGCACAGAUGCUCACACAGUUCAACACCAUGGCAGCUUGAUGUUGAGGUGCUGAGUGUAGUUCCUGGGGAAGGAGCUUGGCAGGACCACCUCAGCUCUUCCUGGUGUAUGUGCCUCUAGAACAGCUCUGCUGCAAAACAAACAAUGAAUGCUAUUUUUGCUUUUUGUCUUUUUUCCUAAAAGUGACAAUCCUCUUCAGAUUUCUUUUGGUUAACAAAAACAGGUAGUACUAAUGUAGGUCUUUUGUAAAAGUAAAGUGAUGUAGCGCAAACUUUUAAAAAAUGGAUGGGGAGACACCUGUAUCCUUUUGUCUAUUUAUUUGGAAUUCAGUGUCUGCUGUGAAACUGGUCUUACGAAUUAAAAAAUCUAGAAUCACCUUGUUAGGGGAUAUUUUGUCAUUCAAUUCUCUCCACUUCUGAAUUAGGAAAUAUAUCCAUAGAGGUGAUACAUUUUCUUGUAUCAUGGUCAUCUAGCAAGCUAGUGAUGGAACAAACACUGGAAAAAAAUGAGUUACCUGACCAGAAUAGAAAAUGUAGGGAAAAGUUCCUUUGCCAAGUGUUGGUGAGGGGAAAAUUGCUAUUAUACAUAAUUCCCUGGCAGACUUUACUCCCGCAAGUAGUUUAACCUUAGUUGACAGUAUAAAGUACUUGCAGGUUCUCGAUGCUUACGUAUAUACAGUGUGUAAAGCAGAGCAAUGAGGCAAAUAUGUAAUGCUAUUUAAAAAAAAAAAAAACUUCCUGAGUUAGUAAAAAUAUAUUCUGAGGAGGUUUCCUUCAAAAUUAGAGCCUAGAGUAACAGAUGUCUCACAAAUUACAGUGUUUGUGGAUGUACAAGAAUUUGAAAGUGGUCCCCAAAGGUUACUAAGCCCCACUGUUUAUGAAAAAUGGAAUCAUUAGUGCAUAGCCUGGGUAAGCAAUAAGGUCACAUUCUGACAUUACUACACCAUCAAAGCUGCGGAGAAAAAGCAAGCUGAGCAGCAACAGCUGUAUUUCCAAAUGGUGAAAAUGUUAAAAUGUUGCAGAGAUCAGCGGAAGUUAUUUAUAUUCACCAGAAAGGUGCAUUGAUGAGGUGGGUUUCAUUUAAUUAAUAUUCUAUAAGAAAAAGCCCUUCAAGAUUUAGGGACCAUGUGAAUGAGGAUCUGGACUUCCUGUUUCCUUUUUUUUCUUUGGACAAAGACUAUAUUUUUAGUCUGGGCCAAAAAUUUUAUAUGUGCCUUUGGUUACAUAAGUCAAUCACUAUGUAUUAAUCCACAGAUCUGGAAGAACUUUCACAUUGCCUGAUAAAUUCUGUGAAGGUAGGGAUUUCUGUUUGUUUUGCUCACUUUUAUGACCUUCUGCCUGUAAUUGUGCCUGCAACGCAGUGCAUGUUCAAUCAAUAUUCAUUAAAUGAAUAAACACAUUAUUUCUCUUAUGCCGUGUUUAUUUAGGUCCUUACCACUUCUUGCCUGGGUUAUCAUAGCAGCCUUUAAUCCAGUUUUCUUGGCUCUGGUCUUAUCCCUAUUUCUCAUCUAAGUUUCAGUCUAGAGCCAGCUCGAAAAUGUACUUGUGAUACUGUCACUCUCUACUCUCAAAGUCUUCAAAAGCUCACCAUCAAUUGCAGGAUCAAGCUAAAGGUUUUUAAGAUGGUUUACGAGGUCCUCCGUGAUCUGACCCAAGCCCUCUCCAAGUGCGUCUCUCAGCACUAUCUGCCUCACAAUUUAUGUUUUAAUAACCACAAAUUGCCUUGUUGUUCUCUACACACACCAGAAGUUUCUUCCAUUUUCUUCAUGUGUUACUUCUGCUUGGAGUCUCUCAACCUCCCGUUCAUCUUUAAGAUUCAGCAAAGGAGUACUAAUCUACCCUUCUUUUUUAGCUUCUGGCUAGAUUACUUGCCAAAUUCAGCAUGCCUUGUACCCUAGGAAUAUGGCUAUCCUAGAACUUUCCACACUGCUCUGUGAUAGUGUAUUUAUGAAUCUAUCUCAUCCCCCAAACAGUGAGCUCCUCCAGGGCAAGGACAAGUUCUCAUCCAUUUUUAGAUUCCCAGUGCUUUGAACAAUAAAUGGCAGUUAGCAGACGCCCAUAAAUUUGUUGACUUACUUUGUAGAUAUAAAGGAAGAAAAAAAUCUUGUGACUCUGAGGGAGCGUGCUUAAUACAUAUUUUUUUACAUUUUGUGCAAAAGAUUUUUUUGCAAAGAACCCAAGAACUUUAUCCCACCUAAUUAAAAAAAAUCAAAACUAAAAGAAAAUGGUUAUAUCGCUUUAUCUACACAAAAAAGGAGAAACUGGCUAUAGACGGGGAAGAAGAAAUGAAAGCAGCCUGGUGGAGAAAAUAACCAGGAGAAGGAGGCAGAGAGAGGGCAGGUGACCUGUUCUAUUCAGGAUGUGAGGAGCAUGAUAUAUCUCUCUGGUGUGUGAAGUGGACUUGCUUCAUAAUUUAAAUACUCCCUUUGUGUGAAGUGGUUCUGUGAAUCUCACGUAGAGAUCUCCUCUAUUCUGGACCAGAGGGAAUGUAUGGUGGAAAUAAGCUGGGGAUCUGCUCUUGAUAUUUCAGUCCUCUCUCUGCUUCCUCCGAGACUUUUGUUAGCUCGAAUCCUUUACAGCAUGUAAGUGAGCUUGCUACUUGGUAAUAUUUGAAUUUGUGUGAUCUCUGUGUUAGCUCAGCUCCUGGACAUUUCUGAUUGCCUACCAAAUAAUAAUUCUCUUCUUUUUUAUUUACAGAACCCCAACUUUGUACACACCCUUGUAGAGUAGUGGAUACAAGUCUAGCCAAUGAAAUAGAAGCAGCAAAAUUCUCUGUUCUCCUGGGAAUAACUAAAAAGAAGUCAAAAGUCUAGCCUAGUUGAGCUGUGCAAGAGCUAUUGUAGAAGAAUCAAGAGAACCAGACAUAUAUUUUUCUUGCCCUGCAUUUGCUAGACCUUUAGAAGAUGAUCUUUACUUAGAUUUUGGUUGGAGAGAAGAACCACUCCAGAAAAAGAGAGAAAAGAGCAAGGGGGAAAAAGCAUGAAGGUGUCUUGAUAUAAGGAGAAGGAUCCCUUCCUUCAACGAAAUCAGAAGCCAGAAGUUGAAUAUGUAAAGACAGCACUGCUCUGGUUGACAUGUGGGUAGAGUCCUGGAAUUUCACUGGAAACCAAGCCAACUUUUCCCUACUACCCAGAAGAAAGUGCUUGAAGAUCCUAACACUGAGAUGAGAAUGUUAAAUAGCAGAUCGUAACACACUUCAGGAUCCACCCGGAUGAAAAAAAGGCUUAUUUAUGGACAUACAGAAGGAGCUAUAUUUAUAAUUAUAUGCAUUCAAAGUUGUGCAUUUCUAACACACUAAAAUCUUUUACAUGAUUUUACUGUUCAAAUGAAUCAAUUAUAUUUAGCUAAGCAUUCAUGAAUUAACACUCAUGUACACUUAAUUAUAUGCAUGUAUGUACUCAAUUAAGAAAAAUAAAGAAUGUUGUGUCUUACGCUUGUAUGACAGUAUAUCUAACAAAAGGAAAUUUUGGAAUUUGGGUCAUAAUUACACACUGAGAAAUCUUAAUACCUUCCAAUACAUCACUAAUUAUAGCCAACGGUAUAAUGAUAGUUAAGAGCCUAUUUUUUACAAACAUUUGUUCCAGUGCCCUGUGGCACCAAGGAUGCCCCUAGGAAAUCUUCCUAUGCUUACUUUUUGUGGAACCUAAGGGACCCUGGGUUUUUAUCCUUGCUGCUUCAUUAACUAGCUUGAUUUGAGGGGAAGUUGCUAACUUUCCCUGCCUUCAUUUUCAACACUACAAAAUAAUGACUUCUAGUUCUAACUGGUAUGACUAAUAGGCAUUUGAAAAAAGAUGAUUAUCUUCCCCAUGCUAGUUUCUACUUAAGCAAACAGGCUUUCUUUUACUAUUAUAAAUUGAUAUUUUAAGUAGAUAUUCCCACUUUUCUAGAACUUGCAUAAACUUAAUACAUUUAUUACACAACACUUACAAAUUUAGCCACUGGAUCAUAGCUCUACCUGAACACACUCUGUGGGAAGUCAACAGAUACCCAUAUGAUGUUCAGUUGCUUUUUUGUGAGUAUUUUGCUCGUAUUCUAGGUUUUAAAUACCUCAAAUGCUCUAAUUUCUGCUAUUAUCAUAAACAAAAUACAAUUUCUUGUAAUUAAUCAAAACUCAUAAUUUAGUUCAUUGAUAUUUCAAGCCUUUUGUUCUGUGGCUUCUUGAGGAUGAAUUUAUUCAUUCAUUCAUUCUUUCAUUAAUCCAACAAAUAUUUAUUGAGACUAAGAGGAGCCAUAGGUUUUUCUAGGCACUGAGAAUAAGACAGUAGACAAACCACUGCUCUCAAAGAGCUUAUGUUCUACUGACUUAAUGUAUACAUCAGGAAGAACACAAUUGUAUUUUCAAAAUAUAGAUAAUUUUAAUUGGCAUUAGAGAUUCCAAUAAACAUUUGUGAUGUUUAUCUUCUGCCAGAAUCUUGUAAAAAAAUCUUGUAAAUGAAUGUAGAUGUAUCCAAAUAAUGACUAAUUUUUUCCAUAAAACAAAAUGAUGAUUAAGUUUUAAAGACAAUGGGAUUUGAAUGAAAUGGACAGCUAUAGAUCUUAUAUAUAAAAUCAUUCUUGUAAGGAUCUGAUUUCAGAGAUUCACAGCUCAUAUAAAGAGGAAAUAUAAAGGUGCCUAGGUGGCUCAGGUGGUUAAGCAUCUGACUCUUGAUUUUAGCUCAGGUCAUGAUCUCAUGGUUGGUGAAUUUGAGCCUUACAUUGGGCUCUGUGCUGGUGGCGCUGAACCUGCUUGGGA
This is a long non-coding RNA of Felis catus (domestic cat), 5762 nucleotides long. RefSeq lists it as uncharacterized. The record is from RefSeq and is a predicted model, not a curated record. The transcript is spliced from 6 exons. NCBI's taxonomy places the organism in Eukaryota, Metazoa, Chordata, Mammalia, Carnivora, Felidae.